UACAGAGGUCCCAAGCGUUGUUCGGAUUCAUUGGGCGUAAAGGGUGCGUAGGCGGCAUGGUAAGUCGGGUGUGAAAUCCCGGGGCUCAACCCCGGAACUGCACUCGAUACUGCCGUGCUGGAGUACUGGAGAGGAGACUGGAAUUUACGGUGUAGCAGUGAAAUGCGUAGAUAUCGUAAGGAAGACCGGUGGCGAAAGCUAGUCUCUGGACACUCACUGACACUGAGGCACGAAGGCUAGGGGAGCAAACGGU
Molecule: ribosomal RNA, 253 nt
Filed under: uncultured bacterium
Lineage: Bacteria
Description: partial 16S ribosomal RNA
Rfam family: Bacterial small subunit ribosomal RNA
Source: RNAcentral